Molecule: long non-coding RNA, 239 nt
Filed under: Elaeis guineensis (African oil palm)
Lineage: Eukaryota; Viridiplantae; Streptophyta; Magnoliopsida; Arecales; Arecaceae
Description: long non-coding RNA (EGUI_LNC014704)
Source: RNAcentral
CCCACAAUAGAUAAGAGAACUGGAAAUCAAAAAGAUCAGUAUCAGACCGUGAAUAUCAUAUUGCAGAGCUUUUGUGGCCAAAAAAUGAGCCGGUUGAUUAGCUUCCCAACAAACAUGAGAUAUUUGAAAGUGAAUUAAUCUGUUUUCCAUUCAUGAAUAUCUCUUGCACUCGUUACCUUUUGAGAAGUCGCUACUGCAACUUGAUCCUUUUAUAGUUUUCCUCUUCCCCUAACUUACGA